Molecule: ribosomal RNA, 491 nt
Filed under: uncultured bacterium
Lineage: Bacteria
Description: partial 16S ribosomal RNA
Rfam family: Bacterial small subunit ribosomal RNA
Source: RNAcentral
AGUGAACGCUGGCGGUAGGCCUAACACAUGCAAGUCGAACGGCAGCACAGUAAGAGCUUGCUCUUACGGGUGGCGAGUGGCGGACGGGUGAGGAAUACAUCGGAAUCUACUUUUUCGUGGGGGAUAACGUAGGGGAAACUUACGCUAAUACCGCAUACGACCUACGGGUGAAAGCAGGGGAUCUUCGGACCUUGCGCGAUUGAAUGAGCCGAUGUCGGAUUAGCUAGUUGGCGGGGUAAAGGCCCACCAAGGCGACGAUCCGUAGCUGGUCUGAGAGGAUGAACAGACACACUGGAACUGAGACACGGUCCAGACUCCUACGGGAGGCAGGAGUGGGGAAUAUUGGACAAUGGGCGAAAGUCUGAUCCAGCCAUACCGCGUGGGGGAAGAAGGCCUGCGGGUUGUAAAGCCCUUUUGUUGGGAAAGAAAAGCAGCAGGUUAAUACCCCGCUGUUCUGACGGUACCCAAAGAAUAAGCACCGGCUAACUUCG